UACGGAGGAUGCGAGCGUUAUCCGGAUUUAUUGGGUUUAAAGGGUGCGUAGGCGGAUCGUUAAGUCAGGGGUCAAAUUGAGGGGCUCAACCCCUUCCCGCCAUUGAAACUGGCGAUCUUGAGUGGAAGAGAAGUAUGCGGAAUGCGUGGUGUAGCGGUGAAAUGCAUAGAUAUCACGCAGAACCCCGAUUGCGAAGGCAGCAUGCCGGCUUCCUACUGACGCUGAAGCACGAAAGCGUGGGGAUCGAACAGG
This 252-nucleotide ribosomal RNA is filed under the name uncultured bacterium. Its description in RNAcentral is "partial 16S ribosomal RNA". It matches the Rfam family "Bacterial small subunit ribosomal RNA", at positions 524 to 776 of the family's 1533-position model. The record is from RNAcentral.